This 612-nucleotide ribosomal RNA is filed under the name Bacillus pumilus. Its description in RNAcentral is "bacterial SSU rRNA". It matches the Rfam family "Bacterial small subunit ribosomal RNA", at positions 36 to 631 of the family's 1533-position model. Lineage: Bacteria; Bacillati; Bacillota; Bacilli; Caryophanales; Bacillaceae. The record is from RNAcentral.
CUGGCGGCGUGCCUAAUACAUGCAAGUCGAGCGGACAGAAGGGAGCUUGCUCCCGGAUGUUAGCGGCGGACGGGUGAGUAACACGUGGGUAACCUGCCUGUAAGACUGGGAUAACUCCGGGAAACCGGAGCUAAUACCGGAUAGUUCCUUGAACCGCAUGGUUCAAGGAUGAAAGACGGUUUCGGCUGUCACUUACAGAUGGACCCGCGGCGCAUUAGCUAGUUGGUGAGGUAACGGCUCACCAAGGCGACGAUGCGUAGCCGACCUGAGAGGGUGAUCGGCCACACUGGGACUGAGACACGGCCCAGACUCCUACGGGAGGCAGCAGUAGGGAAUCUUCCGCAAUGGACGAAAGUCUGACGGAGCAACGCCGCGUGAGUGAUGAAGGUUUUCGGAUCGUAAAGCUCUGUUGUUAGGGAAGAACAAGUGCAAGAGUAACUGCUUGCACCUUGACGGUACCUAACCAGAAAGCCACGGCUAACUACGUGCCAGCAGCCGCGGUAAUACGUAGGUGGCAAGCGUUGUCCGGAAUUAUUGGGCGUAAAGGGCUCGCAGGCGGUUUCUUAAGUCUGAUGUGAAAGCCCCCGGCUCAACCGGGGAGGGUCAUUGGAA